GCUGGGUGUGGUGGUACCCACCUGUUCCUAUUGCUGGGGAGGCUAAGGCUGGAUGAUCUUUUGAGUUUGAGAAUUCUAAGCUGUAGUAGGAAUAAAGUUGAUUGGGUGUUUUCAUGAAGUCUUUGGCACCAGUAUGGUGAGCCGUCAGAUUAGGAAGCUACCAGGUUGCCUAAGGAGAGGUGAAUUGGCCCAGGUUGGAAAAACGGAGCAGGUCAGAGCUUCUAUGCCAAUCAGUAUUGGGACCAGGCCUAUGUGUGGCCACUGUACUUUUAGUUUGGGCAAUAUUAGGGAGACCCAGUU
RNAcentral lists this signal recognition particle RNA (300 nucleotides) under Vombatus ursinus (common wombat). RNAcentral's name for it is "Metazoan signal recognition particle RNA (ENSVURG00010002463.1)". It matches the Rfam family "Metazoan signal recognition particle RNA". From Rfam's summary of the family: The signal recognition particle (SRP) is a universally conserved ribonucleoprotein. It is involved in the co-translational targeting of proteins to membranes. The eukaryotic SRP consists of a 300-nucleotide 7S RNA and six proteins: SRPs 72, 68, 54, 19, 14, and 9. Lineage: Eukaryota; Metazoa; Chordata; Mammalia; Diprotodontia; Vombatidae. The record is from Rfam by way of RNAcentral.